GGAGUAAGAUGUGGAGAUCCUCUUCCUCCCCCAAAAUACAUGAAAAAUGCACAUGGAACAAUUCCUACAGAACACCUACUGAAUGCUGCCAGAAGGCUUCAGACUUCCAAAAAGAGCGGGGGCCAAAACCAAAGCGGAACACCAGGGGCUGUGUGACCAAAGAAGAGGAAAGGAAUUCACUCUGGCAGGAGCGGAUGCAGCAGAUUAAAUCCCUGCAAUUGGCUUAAGACUGUGAGCUUUGGGGGCAACUGUGGACUUUGGAAGCAAGUACGAGUUGGAGUAAGGCCAGAUCUCAGUCGGAGCUGAUCCCACAUCACCAACAUCAGGUCCAGAGACCUUCUGAGAACCUUGCAGCCUGCGGAAAGGAGACCCCAAACCCAGUAAAUUAAACAAAAUGAGAAGACAGAGAAACAUACAGCUGAUGAAGGAGCAUGGUAAAAAC
This is a long non-coding RNA of Bos taurus (domestic cattle), 442 nucleotides long. Lineage: Eukaryota; Metazoa; Chordata; Mammalia; Artiodactyla; Bovidae. The record is from Ensembl.